RNAcentral lists this ribosomal RNA (252 nucleotides) under uncultured bacterium. Its description in RNAcentral is "partial 16S ribosomal RNA". It matches the Rfam family "Bacterial small subunit ribosomal RNA", at positions 525 to 776 of the family's 1533-position model. The record is from RNAcentral.
ACGUAGGGUGCAAGCGUUGUCCGGAUUUAUUGGGUUUAAAGGGUGCGCAGGCGGUCUGUUAAGUUCGUGGUGAAAUCUUCCCGCUCAACGGGAUACCCGCCGUGGAAACUGGCAGACUUGAGUAUGUCUGAGGGAGUUAGAAUGCGUGGUGUAGCGGUGAAAUGCUUAGAUAUCACGCAGAAUACCGAUUGCGAAGGCAGACUUCUAGGACAUAACUGACGCUGAGGCACGAAAGCGUGGGGAGCGAACAGG